Molecule: long non-coding RNA, 503 nt
Organism: Drosophila pseudoobscura
Lineage: Eukaryota; Metazoa; Arthropoda; Insecta; Diptera; Drosophilidae
Exons: 2
Source: RefSeq, a predicted model, not a curated record
CCCAGAUCGAACUGGAGCCGUUGAUCGACCAGGGCACGGACACGAAUGUCCGUGGGAUAGAGUUCAUCGCUUUUCCCGUAGGCUGCAACCAGGACCAGGCCCUCAUCGUUCAUGGUUGGUAUACAGUGUUGGGGAUUCAAUGCCACAAAGUCCGGCUUCAGCUGCUCCCCCUCCAGUAUGUUGACGAUCUUCAGCUCAAAGUCCAGGCCAAGCAUUUUGGCCAACAAGAGAAUGCUGCGGCAGGGCGGACUGGGUGGCAGGUAGUACAGCACGGGUGGUGACAUUUUUCCACCGCUGAGCAGUAAACAAUAAACGAAUUCGGUUACAAUACGCUUCGUGUCGCUCAUUGGUCAUUGGCCAAAACUGAAAUGCCAACACGCUACCCAUUGACCACUUGACCAGGCCCGACACUGGGGCUGGACAACGGUAAAAAAUCAAUGCAUCGAUUUUGUACAUGUAUUUUUUAUUAAAGUUAACUGAGGGAUGUCUUGAGGCAUGCCAAA